AGGCAGCAGUGGGGAAUAUUGGACAAUGGGCGAAAGCCUGAUCCAGCAAUGCCGCGUGAGUGAAGAAGGCCUUCGGGUUGUAAAGCUCUUUUACCCGGGAAGAUAAUGACUGUACCGGGAGAAUAAGCCCCGGCUAACUCCGUGCCAGCAGCCGCGGUAAUACGGAGGGGGCUAGCGUUAUUCGGAAUUACUGGGCGUAAAGCGUUCGUAGGCGGCUUUGUAAGUCAGAGGUGAAAGCCCACGACUCAAUCGUGGAACUGCCUUUGAGACUGCUUCGCUUGAAGAUGGGAGAGGUUAGUGGAAUUCCGAGUGUAGAGGUGAAAUUCGUAGAUAUUCGGAAGAACACCAGUGGCGAAGGCGGCUAACUGGACCAUUCUUGACGCUGAGGAACGAAAGCGUGGGGAGCAAACAGGAUUAGAUACCCUGGUAG
RNAcentral lists this ribosomal RNA (430 nucleotides) under uncultured bacterium. Its description in RNAcentral is "bacterial SSU rRNA". It matches the Rfam family "Bacterial small subunit ribosomal RNA", at positions 346 to 793 of the family's 1533-position model. The record is from RNAcentral.